AGUAGUUAGUGAGGACAACAAGUUAGUGAUGGUAGUUAGCAGUGCUAGUUGGUUAUGUUGGUUAGGACACCCUGUUUGUUACAGUUCUUAUGACAGCCUGUUUGGCAUGGCAGUUUUUUGAAUAAAAACUCUGUUAAACCUCAACUCCCUUGGCGUGUCCCUUCCUCCUCCCUCUGUGACUCAGCUGCCCGGAGCAAUGUGAGGGGAGAGCGGGCCCAGCCUCGCCCAGAGCUGAGCCCCAGCAGAGCCCUGGCAGAGCCCAGAGCAGCCGGGGCAUCUGCAGAGUCAGCCUGGGAGGAGGCGCUCGGAGCCUUCUCGGCUGCACCGACUCUUGGGUACAAACUGCGUGUGCUGGAAAAUGCCCCCGGCUCGGCCAGAGGGCAGAAGGGGCCCGGGGAAGGCCCCAGUGCUCCCUGCAAGGGAAACACCUGCCCUGGGUUUGUUAUAAAGGACUAUGUAGUUGUGGCUUUUGCUGUGAUGUCUUGGCUUCUGCAACUUAUUCUUAAUCGCAACGAUUUAGAUACAGUACAGCUUGUAAUCACUUUUAACUGCUUUUGCUGUAGUAUAAUUUGUCAGCUUUUUGUGGUCAAUGCCCUGGCCCCUGUGUAGCUCAUAUCCUCAGAACAUCAUUCAUGGAUGAUAGUUUAGUUUGUGCACAGUGUGAAAAACAUACAUGAUAGUUUUGGCUUUUACAAAAUAUUGAAGUGGAUGCCAUGUGUUGUGCAUUAGAAUGUUAACUUUUGCAGAAGUAGCUGUAGUUGUGAAAUAAUAACUAAUGCUUUUCUUUUUGUAACUAACUGACAGUAAUAACUCAGAGAUAUUUGUGAAACAGCCAAUGUUGAUUUAAAGUACUUGUGGAAGUAGCUAAGACCGUCUGCAUGGCCAGAUAACGUUUAAGGAACGGGUGUGAUGAGGACCCUGCCGCUGACCCUUCGACUGUCAGUAACUGUCGCCUGCUGAUGUGGAAACCCAGGGCACCGGGAAUAUUUCUCUGUCUGCUCUGGGGUGUCCUGACCCCCAGGGGAGCACUGACUUUGACCCUCAUUCAUGGAGAAAACUUCCAAAGCUUCAAAGUAAGCUAGAAACCACAAAAGUGUGAAAUAGAUUGUAGAGAUUGCAGAGAGUAGUGGAGUAUGUCAUAUGGGUGAAAAAUUUAGGUUUUAGAAUUUUUAGUAUGUUAUAGAUGGGUUCAAGAUGGAGGAUAUAGGGUGUUGUCUUGAGUUCCCUUCUUCUUUCUUCUUCUUCUUCUCUUUCUUUUUGGGUUUAUGUGGUAUCCUGUAAUUGGGUAGAAUAAUCUGCAUUGUGGGUCUUUAGGGGUCAGUUACUGGGUUAGAAAGAAAACUAAUUUAGGUGUCACUUCUUAAUUGGGUAGCUUAGUUUUUGAUUAGACUUACAAGGCCUUGUAACAAGAGAUUGUUGGCCAUUUUUGUGCUGUUUUCCUGCACGCAGAGUCUGGUGCAGACAGUGUGCUGAAGUUUUGAUAACAAUAAACAGAAGCUGAAGACCGAAAAAGUCCAAUGCAGCUCUGGUUCCUGACACAGAACUGCUCCAGGAGGGUCCCCCUGCCAGGGGAGCCGCCAGGGAGUUGCCCAACUUGGGGCCCGCAAACUCCCAGCUGAAUCGGGGAUCAGGGGCUGUUGUGAGGAAGUGACACACAACCCUCAAAACAACAAUCCAUGAUUCCUGCACGGACUCUAGAAAGGCGGGUUGGGGGUCAAACCAAAAGAGUUCCUGGAAGAAGUAAAUGAGUUCAAAGAAAUGUUUGAAUGUGUAUAAUCUUUAUGAAUAUGUUUUUGGACAAUACAAUGGAAAAAGUAGAUAAGAAGAGUUGCUAUGGCUAACCAGUGUGCCUCUGGCCAUUGCCAAGCACCCAGCGCUGUUAUUGAUUUGUCUCUAAUUAUCCCUUCUUAAAGUUUUAAAAAUCGUCUUGCUCAUUUUGCCCCUCUUUGGCUUCUUCUCCAGGAGCAGAGGGAGCCGGGGCAGAGACCGCUGUUCCUUCUGCCAUCUGCGGCAAGAGAGAAGCAUGAGGGACAGGCCGUUACCUCUCAUUUAUAACCUCGUUCCUCCUCGGAUCCACAAAUACCACUUCCAAGGAGAAAUCAGCAACUCUGUUAGCGAUGGGAUUCUAAGUGACUCUGACCAGAUUAAAGUGGGUUAACUCAACAGAACUCUAUUUGAUGAACUCUAUGAAUUUGAUAGUCCUCCCUGGCUGCUAUCAGCAAGCAGCGGUGCCUCUGCACAAUGCAGCUUUUAGCUCUUGAAAACUAUGAAAUGGAAAAGUCAGAGAUAGCCAGCACGGACUUUGUUAUUGCUGCGGCAGACAAGGAAAACUCAAACUGGAUCAGAAUCCCAUGCAGUGCACGAAAAGGGCAGGAAAGAUUGCGCAGACGCCUCUUUGUUUGCUGGAAAGAGGGAAAAUGAGCAGGGCUUCUCCUCCUAGCAAACCAACAAACCACAAGUCGGAAGUGUCCCCUCCUCAGGUGGCUAAAGCACUUGGAUGCAGUGAGGGCAUGUCUGGCAGGGAAACAGCCCUGGUGGUGAGCACUGCCAUGUAUGGAUCCAUGGAUCUGAAGGUCCCUCACAAGCCUCCCGUUGUCCAGGCUAAAGCUCCCUCAGCACCUCCUCCUUGGCGUUGCGCUCCACAGCCUUCCCCAGCUCCCGUGUCCUUCUCUGCACACGCUCCAGCCCCUCGAGGACUUUCUGCUUCAGAGGGGCCCACAAGUGGACACAGCACUCCCAGCCAUGGCCGCAGCGCUGCCCAGCCCAGGGGGACGGUCACUGCCCUGCUCCUGCUGCCCCACUGCUGCUGACACAGGCCAGGGCAUCCUUGGCCUUCUUGGCCACCUGGCCACACACUGGCCCACCUUCAGCUGCUCGUGACCGGCACCCCUGCGUCCUUUUGGCCCACGCAGGUCCCCCACCACAAAGUUGCCCCCUUGACUUCAAAUACAGCAUCCCCAGUUCCAAGAUGUCCUUCCUCUUCUCAGCAACACAAGACAGCAGUCAAGGACUUGCAGCUUCCCCCCCACCCUAGGCACUAAUGCCAUUCUCAAAGCUGCAGGCUGUGUGCAGCUGUCCCUGCAGGAUGGCCCCAGGGCAGAGCCCAGCCGGGCUCCCCCUGCAGCCCCUGAAGCUUGGGGCAGGCAGUGGUCCCAGAGCUGAGGUUCACGGGGAGCACCCGCAGCUGUGCCUCGCACUCUGUUGCCGUGUCACCGUGCAGGCUGGCUUGUACGGGGUGAAUGUACCAGCCCUGGUUUGACUGACAGGGGCCUGGCCCAUCACAGCUCUCCCAAGGCUGCAGGCAUUCCCCAGGCCAGAAUCUGAAGGGGCACAGAGAUCAGACCAGUGAAAUCAUCCAGACUGGGUUUUUCAAAGGCCCUUUAGAAGGAAGGGCUUGAGAAUAAACGUGCUCUGUUUGCCACAGGAACAUCGGGGUGAGUGGUCUCUUUGGCUCCAACCCACUUUCCUCCCGGAGCCAACGUUACCCACUCCCUCACACGUCCCCCCCGUGCCUUCCCACUGCCUUGUCCUGUCAGGGCUUCCGCAGCCCCUCAUCCCUUCGUGGCCCCGUCCCCUCAGGCUCUCCCCAGCCCGGCCAACCUGCCCGGCAGCAGCGCCGCAGCCCCACAGGAGCUCCAGAGGAGCCCAUCCAGAGGCACCUGGGAGCCCUCAGCAAUCCAGGCAGCAACACACGGGCAGGAGGACACGGAUGGCGCUUCCUGCCUGGGACAGGGCUUGUGGCCAUCUCCAGGCACCGCUCUCACAGAGAUCCCCACAGCUCCAGCCCCUGCCCAUCUGCUCUGUGGGCAGCACAAAGGCUUUGGCAGAACCACCAAAGGCCAAGGGGCUUCUGGCCAUUUUCCCUGCAACCCUGCAUGCCUGGGCAGCUUGCUGAGCCAGGGAUCCCUUUUGUCCCUCUUCCCCUAGGCCCUGCAGAACCUGGGCAGCAAAAGAAAGAUCCUGGGAGUCUGUCUAUUAAAACACAUCCUAUAUUU
Molecule: long non-coding RNA, 3995 nt
Filed under: Taeniopygia guttata (zebra finch)
Lineage: Eukaryota; Metazoa; Chordata; Aves; Passeriformes; Estrildidae
Description: lncRNA (ENSTGUG00000019910.1)
Source: RNAcentral